GAGAGAGAGAGAAAGAAAGAAAGAAAGUGGGGAGAAAGACGUUGCUGUGCGACGUGACUAAGCGACAAACGCAUACGAGGAUCGUACGUCUUCGGGGGGAUUUUCUUCUUCGUCGAACUUGGUCGAUUCUCGCGCGAUCGGAGAUUUUGUUCGCGUGAUUCCUAUUCGCGCGCGCGGGCUGCCUGAUUGAAUCGACAAAUCAAGCGAUCGAUCGUGCGGAUCAUUCGCGAUAUCAACACAUGCCUCGCGCUGAUACGUGGCUCGCGCGUAUUGGCGUUUACUGAACAGUGGAUGGGUGUCAACAAUCGCGGUGGCUCCGCGCUUCGUACCUGGCAGCAGACUGGGAAUUACCAACAUCUCGUGUCUUCAGUUCGCGCGCGGACCUUCAACGGUGUCCAAUGUGUUGAUAAAACGAACGGAGGUAUGCGCGGUGCGGCGACGGUACCGCAACCGCCGCCGGUGCCGACGCCGGCAUCCCAGUGCGUGACAGCACAGCCGGGUUACUAUAUUUUGCACAGCAAUGGGAUCCAGGGUGGCAACGACGGCACCUGUGUCAUCGGCACGGUGCCACGCGGCGGCGACGGCAAUCCCAACGGCAAUUCCUCGGUGACGCGAUACGGUCGUUUUACGCCACCCGUGUCGCAUCUGAUGGACUUGAGUGGUCCACCGGAUCAUCAGCAACAGCAACAGCAUCAACAUCAUGCUCUAUCGUCCGGUUAUCAUCAUCAGCAUAACCAGGUCGCGGUAGAAUACACCGAAUUGUCUCAUAUGAUGUUCAAGAAUCCGGACGAAUCGCGAUAUCAUCAUCAUCAUCAUCCUCAUCAUCUCCAGGAUAGUAAAAUCGUGCGAGACUUUCAGCUGGAGUUUGACCGGCCGCUCCACUCAACGGACAACUCGUCCGAGUUUCUGUCGGAUUACAGUAGGGACCACGAGCAACAGAGUUUGUGCCUGACACCGUCUUCGCAGAGCGUGUACUCACCCAGUGGCGCUGACGAGAUGGGUGCCCCCAGUUCAGUUCAAUCGGUACAGGGUCAGGCGGGAUCUUAUCAUCAUGUGGACGUUACGGAGUACAAAUCGGACGCGAUCGAGGAAGGGAUGGUCGAUCAUGUCGCGAGAUACGGCUGUGAACAGGCCGCAGAGCUCGGCCAUGUGACCGAGCCAUCGUCAUCGACGACGAAGGGCUACGGGGACAGAGAGGGUGGCAUCAGAACGGCUGUCAGGAGGAAGAGGCGGCAUAGCGGCAACAAUAACAGCAGCAGCAGCAGCAGCAACGGUUGUUGCAACAGCAACGAGUCCGACAGCGAGGCCACGACAGCCUCGACGACGCGGACGAAGGUGCGUCGCAAGAACGACCAGGAGAUUCAGAAUCAAAGGGCGAUGGCGAAUGUCCGUGAACGUCAGCGGACGCAAAGCUUGAAUGAGGCGUUCUCCGCGCUUAGGAAGAUUAUACCGACUCUACCGAGUGACAAGCUCAGCAAGAUCCAAACGCUCAAGCUCGCCGCUAGAUACAUCGACUUCUUGUUCCACGUGCUCAAGACCAACACUGAAAACGCCGAGUGCGGCGAGAACGCAGAGAAGGGCACCCGGAGUGCGAUUUUGGCUACGAAGGAGAUCGCGGCGUCACCGAGUAAUUACAUGGCACAUGAGAGACUGUCGUAUGCGUUUAGCGUCUGGAGAAUGGAAGGCGAUUGGAGCUCUAAUACGUAGGCUAUAGACUAUAAGGCUAGGAUAAUUACGAAUAAAAAUUUAGUGAGAAUGAAGGUUUACGAUAUGAAGCACGGUAGAUCCGAGGCACUCUGUGAUUCCUGUGUGUAUGUGUGUGAAUUGAAAGCAACUUGAGAAAGAGAUGAAAUUCGAACGCUCGCUCGUUAAUUCAUUUUGCCGUACAGCUUGAUUUAAAGAAAGGAAAUUGAUUCGCGCCAAGGGUGCGAUUUGAAGAUCAGGAGAGCCAACUCUCGAUGGGAUGAUCUCGCACGCGAUGGAUUAUUGUCCCGCGGAUUGGUUUUGCGAGAUUACUCCAUUCGAGAAGUCGGAACUUUGCAGCUUUAACAAACAAAAUGUUGAGAGGCUGAGAGAGACUUUCGAUCUUAAUUUUCUGAGAGAGCAUCCAUUCGAGAUUCUGCCAACUCGAUCAAGCCCGACAAUUUUUCGAACGUUUCCCUGAUGGUUCCCUCGGGACAGUCCCGGCUUCUCCGACUGCAUCCUAUGUAUCCGUGACGUGGCGGCGGCAAAAGAAAAACGAGAAUGACCAUGACAGCUGCUUCGCUUCGCGGGAGCCUUAGACAACGAGAGCCGUGCAGCGACGCAUGGAUCCAAGGACAAUCCGAAAGAGCUCUCUCAAACACCGUUUCUCUCGCGUUGGUAUAUCAUUGCUGGUAUCCCCAAAAAUAAUUUUCACGAGCGAGCGAGCGAGCGAACGAGCGAAGACUCAUCUGUCAGGGCGCUGACAAAAUGUUCACCAUGUAUCUACAAAACAAUGUUUUGAGGAUCCAAUCGUCGAGGAUGUGAUUGACAUCAUCGCACCGGCGAUUGCAAAGAUUUUCGAUUUUCCG
Unclassified non-coding RNA from Acromyrmex echinatior (Panamanian leafcutter ant), 2552 nucleotides. NCBI's taxonomy places the organism in Eukaryota, Metazoa, Arthropoda, Insecta, Hymenoptera, Formicidae. The record is from RefSeq and is a predicted model, not a curated record.